AAAUGAUAUACAGGUGAAACUGCGAAUGGCUCAUUAAAACAGUUAUAGUUUAUUUGGUAAUCGAAUUUACAUGGAUAACCGUGGUAAUUCUAGAGCUAAUACAUGCUGUAAAGCCCGACUCUUCGGAAGGGCCGUAUUUAUUAGAUAACAGACCAAUAUUCCUCGUGUCUAUUGUGGUGAAUCAUAGUAACUAAUCGGAUCGCAUGGGCUAGUCCCGCGACAAACCAUUCAAGUUUCUGCCCCAUCAGCUUUCGAUGGUAGUGUAUUGGACUACCAUGGCUUUUACGGGUAACGGAGGAUUAGGGUUCGAUUCCGGAGAGGGAGCCUGAGAAACGGCUACCACAUCUAAGGAAGGCAGCAGGCGCGUAAAUUACCCAAUCCUAAUUCAGGGAGGUAGUGACAAGAAAUAACGGGUCGGGGUUCUACCCCGGGACUGCAAUGAGAUGAAUUUACACCCCUUUUCGAGUAACAAUUGGAGGGCAAGUCUGGUGCCAGCAGCCGCGGUAAUUCCAGCUCCAAUAGCGUAUAUUAAAGUUGUUGCAGUUAAAAAGCUCGUAGUUGGAUUUCUGGUUGGCUGUUUCUGCCCGCUUGUGCGUGCGCAGUGGUAGCCUACCAUCCUUCUGUUAACCCAGCAGCUCUUCACGGGGCUGUUGGGGGCUCAGAUAUUUUACCUUGAGAAAUUAGAGUGUUUCAGGCAGGCUAGCGCCGGAAUACAUUAGCAUGGAAUAAUAGAAUAGGACUUUUACCUCUUCUGUUGGUCUGAGGGGUUCAAGUAAUGAUUAAUAGGGAUAG
RNAcentral lists this ribosomal RNA (792 nucleotides) under eukaryotic picoplankton environmental sample. RNAcentral's name for it is "SSU rRNA". It matches the Rfam family "Eukaryotic small subunit ribosomal RNA", at positions 67 to 881 of the family's 1831-position model. The record is from RNAcentral.